UGUUCCUUAGCCGAAUGGUAAGGCGACUCCUUUACACGGAGUAGAUUGAGUGUUCGAUUCACUCAGGAACAACCA
Molecule: transfer RNA, 75 nt
Filed under: Saprospiraceae bacterium
Lineage: Bacteria; Pseudomonadati; Bacteroidota; Saprospiria; Saprospirales; Saprospiraceae
Description: tRNA-Val
Rfam family: tRNA
About the family: Transfer RNA (tRNA) molecules are approximately 80 nucleotides in length. Their secondary structure includes four short double-helical elements and three loops (D, anti-codon, and T loops).
Source: RNAcentral